Molecule: ribosomal RNA, 494 nt
Filed under: uncultured bacterium
Lineage: Bacteria
Description: partial 16S ribosomal RNA
Rfam family: Bacterial small subunit ribosomal RNA
Source: RNAcentral
AUGAACGCUAGCGGGAGGCCUAACACAUGCAAGCCGAGCGGUAGAGAUCUUUCGGGAUCUUGAGAGCGGCGUACGGGUGCGGAACACGUGUGCAACCUGCCUUUAUCUGGGAGAUAGCCUUUCGAAAGGAAGAUUAAUACCCCAUAAUAUAUGAUUCGGCAUCGGAUUCUAUUGAAAGCUCCGGCGGAUAGAGAUGGGCACGCGCAAGAUUAGAUAGUUGGUGAGGUAACGGCUCACCAAGUCAGUGGUCUUUAGGGGGCCUGAGAGGGUGGUACCCCACACGUGUACUGAGACACGGACCAAACUCCUACGGGAGGCAGCAGUGAGGAAUAUUGGACAAUGGGUGAAAUCCUGAUCCAGCCAUCCCGCGUGAAGGACGACGGCCCUAUGGGUUGUAAACUUCUUUUGUAUAGGGAUAAACCUACCCUCGUGAGGGUAGCUGAAGGUACUAUACGAAUAAGCACCGGCUAACUCCGUGCCAGCCGCCGCUGUAA